Molecule: non-coding RNA, 128 nt
Filed under: Actinacidiphila cocklensis
Lineage: Bacteria; Bacillati; Actinomycetota; Actinomycetes; Kitasatosporales; Streptomycetaceae
Also listed under: 1 other name
Description: Streptomyces cocklensis SAM
Rfam family: SAM riboswitch aptamer (S box leader)
About the family: The SAM riboswitch is found upstream of a number of genes which code for proteins involved in methionine or cysteine biosynthesis in Gram-positive bacteria. The SAM riboswitch acts at the level of transcription termination control.
Source: RNAcentral
CGCUCAUCCAGAGGGGCAGAGGGAACGGCCCGUUGAAGCCCCGGCAACCCUCCCGCCGACCGCGAGGUCAUGGUGGGGAAGGUGCCAAUUCCGUCUCGUGGCGACGUCCGCCGCGAGGAAGAUGAGGA